Molecule: non-coding RNA, 114 nt
Organism: Pleomassaria siparia CBS 279.74
Lineage: Eukaryota; Fungi; Ascomycota; Dothideomycetes; Pleosporales; Pleomassariaceae
Source: the annotation of a GenBank genome assembly
GACAAGAUGGCCGAGUGGUUAAGGCGUGUGACUCAAGCGAAAGCUUUCCUUUACUCAUCAAAGGACGUAUUCUCAUCAACUUUGUUGGCGGGGGUUCGAAUCCCCCUCUUGUCA